AGCGCUUCCAGCCAACACGGGAGCGCAGCGCACAGCUCAGUAACACGUGGCUAAUCUGCCCUUGGGACCGGAACACCCCCGGGAAACUGGGGCUAAUUCUCGAUAGGUGAAGAACUCUGGAAUGAGUCUUUGCCAAAAAGACGUUUACGUUAUGCUCGUAGGCGUCGCCCAAGGAUGAGGCCGCGACCGAUCAGGUUGUUGGUGAGGUAAUGGCUCACCAAGCCUUUUACCGGUGCGGGCCGUGAGAGCGGGAGCCCGGAGAUGGGCACUGAGACAAGGGCCCAGGCCCUACGGGGCGCAGCAGUCGCGAAAACUUUGCAAUACACGAAAGUGUGACAGGGCUAUCCCGAGUGCCAUCCGCUGAGGAAGGCUUUUACCCAGUCUAGAACGCUGGGGGAAUAAGGAGAGGGCAAGUCUGGUGUCAGCCGCCGCGGUAAUACCAGCUCUCCGAGUGGUGUGGAUGUUUAUUGGGCCUAAAGCAUCCGUAGCUGGCUGAGUUAGUCCCUUGUUAAAUCCACCGAAUUAAUCGUUGGAUUGCGGGGGGUACUGCUCGGCUAGGGGACGAGAGAGGCAGACGGUAUUUCCGGGGUAGGGGUGAAAUCCUAUAAUCCCGGGAAGACCACCAGUGGCGAAGGCUGUCUGCUAGAACGCGCCCGACGGUGAGGGAUGAAAGCUGGGGGAGCGAACCGGAUUAGAUACCCGGGUAGUCCCAGCUGUAAGCGAUGCAGGCUAGGUGUUUGGACGGCCACGUGCCGUUCUAGUGCCGCAGGGAAGCUGUUAAGCCUGCCGCCUGGGGAGUACGAUCGCAAGAUUGAAACUUAAAGGAAU
Molecule: ribosomal RNA, 828 nt
Filed under: uncultured archaeon
Lineage: Archaea
Description: bacterial SSU rRNA
Rfam family: Archaeal small subunit ribosomal RNA
Source: RNAcentral